AUGGAGACUACAAGGAAAUCAUUUGUCUCACUGGCAUUCUUAUUGUCUUUCUUCAUCAUUGCAUCAGAAGCAAGAGGACCCAUUGUACAUCUUCAUUGUACUUCAAACGAAGAAUGUUCAUUACGUCCUUGUGCUGCUUCAUGUGGUUGCCAAUGUAUCGAUACCUAUUGUCAAUGCACAAGACUACCACCUUCUUUUAACUAUAAUAAUCUUCACAUUCAUGCACCCCGAAAUUGAGCAACGAGGUUUUGAGAUGCAUGCAAUCACCAAAUGUAGGAUUGCAUCUUCUUGAAAGAUGUUUAAUAAAAUGCAUGCUUUUAUCAGUUUU
This is a long non-coding RNA of Cajanus cajan (pigeon pea), 328 nucleotides long. RefSeq lists it as uncharacterized. The record is from RefSeq and is a predicted model, not a curated record. NCBI's taxonomy places the organism in Eukaryota, Viridiplantae, Streptophyta, Magnoliopsida, Fabales, Fabaceae.